GAUGAACGCUGGCGGCGUGCCUAAUACAUGCAAGUCGAGCGAACAGACGAGGAGCUUGCUCCUCUGACGUUAGCGGCGGACGGGUGAGUAACACGUGGAUAACCUACCUAUAAGACUGGGAUAACUUCGGGAAACCGGAGCUAGUACCGGAUAAUAUGUUGAAUCGCAUGGUUCAACAGUGAAAGACGGUCUUGCUGUCACUUAUAGAUGGAUCCGCGCCGCAUUAGCUAGUUGGUAAGGUAACGGCUUACCAAGGCAACGAUGCGUAGCCGACCUGAGAGGGUGAUAGGCCACACUGGAACUGAGACACGGUCCAGACUCCUACGAGAGGCAGCAGUAGGGAAUCUUCCGCAGUGGGCGAAAGCCUGACGGAGCAACGCCGCGUGAGUGAAGAAGGUCUUCGGAUCGUAAAACUCUGUUAUUAGGGAAGAACAAAUGUGUAAGUAACUAUGCACGUCUUGACGGUACCUAAUCAGAAAGCCACGGCUAACUACGUG
This 497-nucleotide ribosomal RNA is filed under the name uncultured bacterium. RNAcentral describes it as "partial 16S ribosomal RNA". It matches the Rfam family "Bacterial small subunit ribosomal RNA", at positions 28 to 507 of the family's 1533-position model. The record is from RNAcentral.